UAGUUCAGUCGGUAGAACGGCGGACUGUUAAUCCGUAUGUCACUGGUUCGAGUCCAGUCAGAGGAGCCA
Molecule: transfer RNA, 69 nt
Filed under: Escherichia coli
Lineage: Bacteria; Pseudomonadati; Pseudomonadota; Gammaproteobacteria; Enterobacterales; Enterobacteriaceae
Also listed under: 12 other names
Description: tRNA-Asn
Rfam family: tRNA
About the family: Transfer RNA (tRNA) molecules are approximately 80 nucleotides in length. Their secondary structure includes four short double-helical elements and three loops (D, anti-codon, and T loops).
Source: RNAcentral